Molecule: ribosomal RNA, 497 nt
Filed under: uncultured bacterium
Lineage: Bacteria
Description: partial 16S ribosomal RNA
Rfam family: Bacterial small subunit ribosomal RNA
Source: RNAcentral
GACGAACGCUGGCGGCGUGCCUAAUACAUGCCAGUUGAGCGCUGAAGGUUGGUACUUGUACCGACUGGAUGAGCAGCGAACGGGUGAGUAACGCGUGGGGAAUCUGCCUUUGAGCGGGGGACAACAUUUGGAAACGAAUGCUAAUACCGCAUAAAAACUUUAAACACAAGCUUUAAGUUUGAAAGAUGCAAUUGCAUCACUCAAAGAUGAUCCCGCGUUGUAUUAGCUAGUUGGUGAGGUAAAGGCUCACCAAGGCGAUGAUACAUAGCCGACCUGAGAGGGUGAUCGGCCACAUUGGGACUGAGACACGGCCCAAACUCCUACGGGAGGCAGCAGUAGGGAAUCUUCGGCAAUGGACGAAAGUCUGACCGAGCAACGCCGCGUGAGUGAAGAAGGUUUUCGGAUCGUAAAACUCUGUUGGUAGAGAAGAACGUUGGUGAGAGUGGAAAGCUCAUCAAGUGACGGUAACUACCCAGAAAGGGACGGCUAACUACGUG